RNAcentral lists this transfer RNA (88 nucleotides) under bacterium. Its description in RNAcentral is "tRNA-Ser". It matches the Rfam family "tRNA". Rfam says of the family: Transfer RNA (tRNA) molecules are approximately 80 nucleotides in length. Their secondary structure includes four short double-helical elements and three loops (D, anti-codon, and T loops). Further hydrogen bonds mediate the characteristic L-shaped molecular structure. tRNAs have two regions of fundamental functional importance: the anti-codon, which is responsible for specific mRNA codon recognition, and the 3' end, to which the tRNAs corresponding amino acid is attached (by aminoacyl-tRNA synthetases). tRNAs cope with the degeneracy of the genetic code in two manners: having more than one tRNA (with a specific anti-codon) for a particular amino acid; and 'wobble' base-pairing, i.e. permitting non-standard base-pairing at the 3rd anti-codon position. The record is from RNAcentral.
GGAGGGGUGCGUGAGCGGUUCAAACGAGCGGCUUGCUAAGCCGUGGGCCCUUUAAAAGGCCCCGUGGGUUCAAAUCCCACCCCCUCCG